Molecule: ribosomal RNA, 484 nt
Filed under: uncultured bacterium
Lineage: Bacteria
Description: partial 16S ribosomal RNA
Rfam family: Bacterial small subunit ribosomal RNA
Source: RNAcentral
AUUGAACGCUGGCGGCAGGCCUAACACAUGCAAGUCGAGCGGAUGAAGGGAGCUUGCUCCUGGAUUCAGCGGCGGACGGGUGAGUAAUGCCUAGGAAUCUGCCUGGCAGUGGGGGAUAACGUCCGGAAACGGGCGCUAAUACUGCAUACGUCCUGCGGGAGAAAGUGGGGGAUCUUCGGACCUCACGCUCUCAGAUGAGCCUAGGUCGGAUUAGCUAGUUGGUGGGGUAAAGGCCUACCAAGGCGACGAUCCGUAACUGGUCUGAGAGGAUGAUCAGUCACACUGGAACUGAGACACGGUCCAGACUCCUACGGGAGGCAGCAGUGGGGAAUAUUGGACAAUGGGCGAAAGCCUGAUCCAGCCAUGCCGCGUGUGUGAAGAAGGUCUUCGGAUUGUAAAGCACUUUAAGUUGGGAGGAAGGGCAGUAAGUUAAUACCUUGCUGUUUUGACGUUACCAACAGAAUAAGCACCGGCUAACUUCGUG